This 301-nucleotide ribosomal RNA is filed under the name uncultured bacterium. RNAcentral's name for it is "partial 16S ribosomal RNA". It matches the Rfam family "Bacterial small subunit ribosomal RNA", at positions 509 to 807 of the family's 1533-position model. The record is from RNAcentral.
CAGUAGCCGCGGGAAAACAGAGGGUGCGAGCGUUAAUCGGAUUUACUGGGCGUAAAGCGUGUGUAGGUUGUUGUUCAAGUCAGUUGUGAAAUCCCUGGGCUCAACCUGGGAACUGCUUCUGAGACUGAACGACUAGAGUACGGUAGAGGGUGGUGGAAUUUCCGGUGUAGCGGUGAAAUGCGUAGAUAUCGGAAGGAACAUCAAUGGCGAAGGCAGCCACCUGGGCCUGUACUGACACUGAGACACGAAAGCGUGGGGAUCAAACAGGAUUAGAUACCCCAGUAGUCCCUGUCUCUUAUAC